This is a non-coding RNA of Gelatoporia subvermispora B, 102 nucleotides long. Lineage: Eukaryota; Fungi; Basidiomycota; Agaricomycetes; Polyporales; Gelatoporiaceae. The record is from the annotation of a GenBank genome assembly.
GGCUCAAUGGUCUAGUAGUAUGAUUCGCGCUUCGGGUUGUCCCCGGUCCGUAACUCGGACUUAAUCUGCGCGAGGUCCCGGGUUCAAUUCCCGGUUGAGCCC